Molecule: transfer RNA, 86 nt
Filed under: Prochlorococcus phage P-SSM2
Lineage: Duplodnaviria; Heunggongvirae; Uroviricota; Caudoviricetes; Pantevenvirales; Kyanoviridae
Description: tRNA-Asn
Source: RNAcentral
GGUUUUAUAAGUAAAUUUCUCCCUGCUGCUGCAGCAACUAUCGGUGCUGCUGGAACAAUAAUGCAGAUUAAAGAUAGAGCAGGUGG